Molecule: ribosomal RNA, 253 nt
Filed under: uncultured bacterium
Lineage: Bacteria
Description: partial 16S ribosomal RNA
Rfam family: Bacterial small subunit ribosomal RNA
Source: RNAcentral
UACGUAGGGCCCAAGCGUUGUUCGGAUUUACUGGGCGUAAAGGGCGCGUAGGCGGCUUGACAAGUCACUUGUGAAAUCUCCGGGCUUAACUCGGAACGGCCAAGUGAAACUGUCAUGCUAGAGUGCAGAAGGGGCAAUCGGAAUUCUUGGUGUAGCGGUGAAAUGCGUAGAUAUCAAGAGGAACACCUGAGGUGAAGACGGGUUGCUGGGCUGACACUGACGCUGAGGCGCGAAAGCCAGGGGAGCAAACGGG